Molecule: transfer RNA, 71 nt
Filed under: Ovis aries (sheep)
Lineage: Eukaryota; Metazoa; Chordata; Mammalia; Artiodactyla; Bovidae
Rfam family: tRNA
About the family: Transfer RNA (tRNA) molecules are approximately 80 nucleotides in length. Their secondary structure includes four short double-helical elements and three loops (D, anti-codon, and T loops).
Source: Rfam by way of RNAcentral
UCCUGAUAGCUCAGUUGGUAAAGAAUCCGCCUAUGAUGCCGGAGAUCCGGGUUCAAUUCCUGGGUCAGGAA